CGUCGUGACGAAUUCUCGUAGUUUCAACCCACGUAAAAAUUUUAAAAAAGAAAUUCAGUUCACUUAUAUUUCCUAGAAUAAAUAUUACUUUUUUUAAUCUUUAUGACAUGUCUUUUUGUUAUGUAUUUAUAUUAAUCUCUAAAGCCUUAUAAAAGUACACUUUAAAAUAUGUUCAAAUAAUUUUUUUUAAAAAAAGUAAUUUUUAUUUCUCCGAAAACGACUGUAGUAAAAUAAAUGAUUUAAAGUUAGUGUAUUGAUGAAAUAAUCCCGGAAUAGAUAAAACGGUAUCUCGAAAAAUGAUAUCGAGUAUGUAUAUAUAUAAGCCGACAAAGGCAGUAUAUAAUAUAAGAUUAUCACAUGAUUUCUCAGUACAGAGAACAAAAAGGAUCAAGCCUGGGUCGAUCGUCAAGUAUUAUAGAGCUGAAAGUAUAAAAGAGCGUAUUCUUGGUUUAGUUGCAAGGGCAACUGCUCGAGCUCGCGGAAGAUCACGAUUCUUCGUAACCCAUCCUCCCACCCUGCCUAUCCUAUCCUCUAUACACAACUUGAACUCUAUAUACGAUACUUAGCUCUUUUCUCGUGUCCGGUCCAUGAACUCUUUAGGGAUUAAAAUUUCGUACUAAGGUUAAGAUAAAUGAGAGUGGACCGAGAGACAAGAAGAAUUAAUGUGGUAUAGCCUCUGGGCUGGGUCUAAUGACCUUAUGAUGACUAUUGCUUUUUUUUAUCCUUCACCCUUUCUUUUUGUUACAAGAACAAAAAAAUUUAUCUUCCAUAUACUUUUUACUUAGACAUCCGCAUUCAUUAAAUUUUCAUUACACGGAAGAGACGGAUUUCAAAAUUUGGUUUUAAUUACUAUUUGAAAAGUAAUCCGAAACCAUUAAUGGAUUCGAUGGCUUUUACUUUUGUCAAAAUGAAAAAUUAUCCUUCACACAAUCACUCGGAGAUUCGAUAAAACCAUUUUUCAAAAAGGCAUAAUCAAAAAAUUAGCGGAGGGAUUUUUUUUUAUGACAAAAAAAAAAUACUGCGCUGGCAUAACUCAUCAUCGAAUAAAGGCACGACUGAAGACAAAAUUUACUUGGUCUUUCUACGAAUUUGAAAGCAAAGGAACAGCCAUCGGUUAAAGUUAAGUCUCAUUUCGUGGAUAAAAAAGAAGAAGAAUAAGAAUAAGAAGAGACGAGAUGUAAGAGGGAAGAAUGAACAUGAUUUCGGUUUGUGUGCAUGGAAACCCUUUGUCGUCUCUGACAGAGUAAUAUGUGUAGUAUGUGUACCACAAAUAUACAUAUAUGAAGUGUACAAAGAGAAAGAGAGGUAAAUAAGAAAGAGACGUUUAAAAAAAAGUAAAAGAAGCAAGACAUGAGAUUUACACGGCAAGCUGUGCCCAUCCUUUCAGAGUUUGCCUCGAGAGUAUCUUCCGGGAAUGGGAUCCAUAUACCAAUACCAGUUUACUGUGCUAUGGGACACAAUAUGUACACAAUACAUCAUACAUUUCAAAGAAUUAUUGUUGUAAUAAUAAUAACUCAUAUUUUUUGGUUUGUCUAGGUUAUUCUCAUUUAAAUUUAUCUACAAGCGCUCGCCUAUUCGAAAGUUCGGAUUCGAUCUUAAAAAAAAAAGUUACCCUCCGAUUUAUUUUUACCAGAUUUAUAGCGGCACUUUUACACGGGUUUCAAAAGUCUACUGAAACCCAUAAAUUUAUCACAGAUAAAGUGCGGGAAAAUUUAAACUUUUUUUUGAAAUUCAAAUUUUUACUGAAAAAAAUUUUUUCUCGAUUGAGAGUUAAAGAGUGGGGGAAUCAUUAAGAAAUGGAGAUCGAUCGUAUGUCAGUCAAUUAUCGAUCAUUAUAGCACGCGAGCGCCGAUAAAGUGGCGAUUAUUACUUUUCUGCCCGGUUUCUUCAUUGUCGGCGCUUAUAAUGAAUUUUUUUCACCUGUGCGAAUUUAGCGUCUCAUCGAAGAAAUUGCGAAAUCAAAAUGACCUGGAUUGAUAGGUCGACGUUAGGUCCGUAUAGG
This is a long non-coding RNA of Microplitis demolitor, 2002 nucleotides long. RefSeq lists it as uncharacterized. The record is from RefSeq and is a predicted model, not a curated record. The transcript has 3 exons. Lineage: Eukaryota; Metazoa; Arthropoda; Insecta; Hymenoptera; Braconidae.